GGACGAACGCUGGCGGCGUGCUUAACACAUGCAAGUCGAGCGGAAAGGCCCUUCGGGGUACUCGAGCGGCGAACGGGUGAGUAACACGUGAGUAACCUGCCCCAGACUUUGGGAUAACCCUCGGAAACGGGGGCUAAUACCGGAUACGACCUUUUCUCGCAUGGGAUGAGGGUGGAAAGUUUUUCGGUUUGGGAUGGGCUCGCGGCCUAUCAGCUUGUUGGUGGGUGAUGGCCUACCAAGGCGACGACGGGGUAGCCGGCCUGGAGAGGGGCGACCGGCCACACUGGGACUGAGACACGGCCCAGACUCCUACGGGAGGCAGCAGUGGGGAAUCUUGCGGCAAUGGGC
Molecule: ribosomal RNA, 348 nt
Filed under: uncultured bacterium
Lineage: Bacteria
Description: bacterial SSU rRNA
Rfam family: Bacterial small subunit ribosomal RNA
Source: RNAcentral